Molecule: ribosomal RNA, 468 nt
Filed under: uncultured bacterium
Lineage: Bacteria
Description: partial 16S ribosomal RNA
Rfam family: Bacterial small subunit ribosomal RNA
Source: RNAcentral
GACGAACGCUGGCGGCGUGCUUAACACAUGCAAGUCGAACGGAAAGGCCCUGCUUUUGUGGGGUGCUCGAGUGGCGAACGGGUGAGUAACACGUGAGUAACCUGCCCUUGACUUUGGGAUAACUUCAGGAAACUGGGGCUAAUACCGGAUAGGAGCUCCUGCUGCAUGGUGGGGGUUGGAAAAUUUCGGCGGUUGGGGAUGGACUCGCGGCUUAUCAGCUUGUUGGUGGGGUAGUGGCUUACCAAGGCUUUGACGGGUAGCCGGCCUGAGAGGGUGACCGGCCACAUUGGGACUGAGAUACGGCCCAGACUCCUACGGGAGGCAGCAGUGGGGAAUAUUGCACAAUGGGCGGAAGCCUGAUGCAGCAACGCCGCGUGCGGGAUGACGGCCUUCGGGUUGUAAACCGCUUUCGCCUGUGACGAAGCGUGAGUGACGGUAAUGGGUAAAGAAGCACCGGCUAACUACGUG